Maniola jurtina (meadow brown) is the source of this 169-nucleotide long non-coding RNA. RefSeq lists it as uncharacterized. The transcript is spliced from 3 exons. The record is from RefSeq and is a predicted model, not a curated record. Lineage: Eukaryota; Metazoa; Arthropoda; Insecta; Lepidoptera; Nymphalidae.
GAAACCUUAAAAAACCGACGCGAUUUGCCCGGCGCCUUAGACUUUCUGAAGUUAGGUUUCACUCGUGUCAUGUAUUUACAUUGUCAGUUCACGGUAACAUAGGCGUAUGGGCCACGUAUAGUGCACCUCUUUAAACGCAUUUCAGCGAGAAUCUACUUGUGUGCCUUUU